RNAcentral lists this long non-coding RNA (757 nucleotides) under Nicotiana benthamiana. RNAcentral's name for it is "long non-coding RNA (NBEN_LNC036487)". Lineage: Eukaryota; Viridiplantae; Streptophyta; Magnoliopsida; Solanales; Solanaceae. The record is from RNAcentral.
CGCCUCGACUCGAGUUUCCGCUGUAGGAUUGAGUGAGGUGACGAGAGCUGAAGCCAAGGUUCCUUGCUACGCUCCAUAGAUGUUCGUACGAUUCUUGUGGAUUUUGGGUGUGUUUGAAUUCAGCCUCUCGUUAGGUCUUCACUGAAGGAUUGUCCACCUUCUCAAGCCUCUCUACCAUACCCUUAGAAAGUGACAACGGAUGACUUCCAUUACUAAAUGGAAGAACUUUUCAAACUAGUUGAUAGUUGUUCCCUGGUUGCACCCCACAAUGGGUUCUAAUUUACUAAAUCACAUGUUUCUGUUUUCGGAACAUCACAUGUAGAGUUUUUUGGGGGAGAAUCACUCGGCGCGGGGCCUCCCGUGUGAGGUCAGGUGAUGGUCAACAACUCAGGCAGGAAAUGCUGAAAAGCGGCUAACGAUGCAAGAGCUCUUUUCCCCUUAUACGCUCUAAAAAAAGGGUAUGUCGGGUUUUUGGACCCUAUGUUGAGUAAGGGUUCCAAACCUUCCAAAAGUGAUAGGUAUGUGUUGUUUCUUGGCACUCUCUUUCUAUAUUAUGCCAACCUAAAAAGAGCGAUGGAAAGUGGAUUUCAGGUUCGAUAGUCUCGAGAAGGUAUUAGCCACCGGUGACCAUACUUUCGUAAAAGCACCAUUGGGCGGUGGUUCCUCUCCUUCCUCUUGAACCUCGAACAAAAAAUCGAUCUCGCCAUCAGCUCGACUAAGAGUUCCGAAUCGAAAAAGGAAACUGAACUUGACUUAA